CAGGGAAUCUUCCACAAUGGACGAAGGUCUGAUGGAGCAAUGCCGCGUGAGUGAAGAAGGUUUUCGGAUCGUAAAACUCUGUUGUGAGGGAAGAACAAGUACGAGAGUAACUGCUCGUACCUUGACGGUACCUCAUUAGAAAGCCACGGCUAACUACGUGCCAGCAGCCGCGGUAAUACGUAGGUGGCAAGCGUUGUCCGGAAUUAUUGGGCGUAAAGCGCGCGCAGGCGGUCCUUUAAGUCUGAUGUGAAAUCCCACGGCUCAACCGUGGAAGGCCAUUGGAAACUGGGGGACUUGAGUACAGAAGAGGAAAGCGGAACUCCAAGUGUAGCGGUGAAAUGCGUAGAGAUUUGGAGGAACACCAGUGGCGAAGGCGGCUUUCUGGUCUGUAACUGACGCUGAGGCGCGAAAGCGUGGGGAGCAAACAG
Molecule: ribosomal RNA, 428 nt
Filed under: uncultured bacterium
Lineage: Bacteria
Description: bacterial SSU rRNA
Rfam family: Bacterial small subunit ribosomal RNA
Source: RNAcentral